Long non-coding RNA from Populus trichocarpa (black cottonwood), 1509 nucleotides. RefSeq lists it as uncharacterized. The record is from RefSeq and is a predicted model, not a curated record. The transcript has 2 exons. Lineage: Eukaryota; Viridiplantae; Streptophyta; Magnoliopsida; Malpighiales; Salicaceae.
AUUACGCGCGGUCCAAGACUCUCCUUCAUGUUGCUUGUACGUGAAACAAGUAAAGUAAAAGGUAUAUAAUAGCGAUACAAUUUCUAAGAAACCGAGCGAGAAGCCAUGAAUGGACCUCCCUAGAGGAAAUUGCUUGGCUGUAAUCUGUUAUAAAAGCAGCGUUAUAGGUGCUUAAGUUAGCUCGAUAUAGGCAAAGAGGAGCAUGGAUUCCAUGAAUUGAAAGAAGAGAUAGUCAGGUACAUAGUUUAGUUUCCUUGAUGGGUUAUUACAGAUUCUAUUUUCAUUAUAAUAAUUCGUUGCUCUCCGCUAUGCUUCUUUUUUUCUUCUUUUGUAAGAUUUCUUCUAACAUCUGAUUUUAUCUUAGCAAACAGAGAGCUGGAAGAAUAACCGACUGAUCAAUAUAGACAGGCGAGAUUAGCAGGGGGGGAAAGCGCAUAUGAGAGAUCCAGAAAGGGACAUGGCAAGAUAAAUUUUUAAAGAAAUGUGAAAAGAAAUAAGCAAAACUAAGAGAGGAAACUAGCCCGGAGGAGCCUUGCCAACCAGCAUCUACCAGAUUUUGGAACUUGGCAUGAAGCCUAUGUUGGUUUGCAGCUAUCUGCUAAGAGAUUAGAUUAGUUCAACCCACUUUUAGCCUAUGUUGGUUUCCUUGUGCCUCUCUCAUAUGCGUUUUUGUCCCUCGGCCGAUCUCAUCCAUGUCAGCUGAGAUCUAUACAAGCAUUAUUCUGUUCAAAGACAGGGAUGGUAUGAUUUUAUCCAGGUCAUGAUAAUCUAGUUUUCUUCUGACUAUUAUGCCUUGUUGGUUUCCUUUCUCUGUAAUCAGGUAGCUCUUGUGAUCGGAAAAGAAGACAUCUUGGUUUGCUUUCCCUGUAUCAAACUGAGGAGGAAUCUUAUCAUUUAUGGGAAAUCUUGAGGUGUGUAAAUUGGGACUUUUCUCAGACCUUUCAGAACCGAGUCAAGACAAGCCCUUCCUUCGAAAACCGCGGAUGGCUCUGUGGCUCACAAGGAAGGAGGAGAUUUUGAAUUCUUGUCGGGAUUUUCAUCAAAGUUAAAGGAAUUUCCAAGAGUAAUGGGAUUGGUUAGUUCUGGUGGAAAAAAAGGAAAACGUGGGGAAAGUAACUUCUAUGAGAAGCAAAGGUCAAGAUAUAGCAAGGGGCAAAAAGGAAGGAAACAUGAUUUUGGCAAAAGCAAAGUGCAGCCGCAGAGAUACGAUUCAUGGAAGCUACGGAACUGCUUCCCAAGAUCCCAUCCCAUCAUUUGCUACUCCUAUUUUCCACACCAGCUCGCCUCCAUUUGAAAGACUAUUCAUUUUGAAAAGUCCCGUUUAGGCUAUUAAUGGCCCCAGCAGUCAAAUAAUCCUUGUGACAAGGCCACUACAAACUUUCCACUGGUUGGGAAACCAUGUUACAAGGAAUCAUUCUUGAAAAAAGGAAAGAAAGGUUAAAUAUACGGAUCUGUUGCUAUUGUCCUUCAAUAUUUUAAUGCAAAAUUUCAGCUAUUUUUGUUUAUAAA